AGCAGCCGCGGUAAUUCCAGCUCCAAUGGCGUAUAUUAAAGUUGUUGCAGUUAAAAAGCUCGUAGUUGAAUUUCGGGAUCAAUGCGUCGGUCGUGCUUUCGGGUACGUACUGGUGUCAUUGGUUUCUCCUUUCUGACGAGCCGUGAUGUCAUUAAUUUGGUGUUACGGGGUAGUUAGGACUGUUACUUUGAAAAAAUUAGAGUGUUUAAAGCAGGCAUUCGCUUGAAUACAUUAGCAUGGAAUAAUGAAAUAGGACGUUCGACCCUAUUUUGUUGGUUUCUAGGAUCAACGUAAUGAUUAAUAGGGAUAGUUGGGGGACAUUAGUAUUCAAUUGUCAGAGGUGAAAUUCUUGGAUUUAUUGAAGACUAACUACUGCGAAAGCAUUUGCCAAGGAUGUCUUCAUUAAUCAAGAACGAAAGUUAGGGGAUCGAAGACGAUCAGAUACCGUCGUAGUCUUAACCAUAAACUAUGCCGACUAGGGAUCGGAUGAUGUUAAUUUUUUAAUGUACUCAUUCGGCGC
RNAcentral lists this ribosomal RNA (520 nucleotides) under uncultured Glomus. RNAcentral's name for it is "SSU rRNA". It matches the Rfam family "Eukaryotic small subunit ribosomal RNA", at positions 569 to 1086 of the family's 1831-position model. The record is from RNAcentral. Lineage: Eukaryota; Fungi; Glomeromycota; Glomeromycetes; Glomerales; Glomeraceae.